Molecule: long non-coding RNA, 632 nt
Filed under: Equus caballus (horse)
Lineage: Eukaryota; Metazoa; Chordata; Mammalia; Perissodactyla; Equidae
Description: lncRNA (ENSECAG00000055252.1)
Source: RNAcentral
AUCUCACCAUGAAGGAUAUUUAAAAGCAAAAUGACCUGAAGCAGGUGUGAGUAAUCUGUGGAUAGAACAGAGCUCUGCUCCAGGCGCAAGCACUGCUGUAGGUAAAGUGCUGAAGAAGAGGAAGACUACAGGCUAUUUAUCCAUGGCGGCAGCACAGCUUGGGGCAAGGCAGAGCUAAGACGACCCCUCUGUCUUUGUGAAGAUGCCAGAGGAAACCACCAAAGAAGACUCUCUCCUUUGCUGGUUUUGAUGAAGCAUGCAGCCAUUUAUGAGAGGCCAAGAAACCAAGGGCAGCCUCCAGCCAAGAACCAGCUGAGGGUGGCCCCUAGCUGACAAUCAGCAAGACGUUGAGGCCACCCGCCCUACAACACCAAGGAACUGAAUUCUACUAACAACUGCACGAAUUUGAAAGUGGGUUGUUCCCCAGUUGAACCUUGAGAUGAGACCAUCAGGCCAACCAACAAUCUCAUUGAAGUCACAUGAAAUCUGGAAGCAGAAGAUCUGACUAAACUGUGCCCACACACCUAACCACAGAAACUGUGUAUUAAUAAAUGUGUGUUGUUUUAAACCAACGUCUUUGUGGCAAUAUUGCUACCCAACAAUAAAUAACUAAUAAACAGUCCAAGAAUCAA